This 197-nucleotide unclassified non-coding RNA is filed under the name uncultured Tomentella. RNAcentral describes it as "sequence contains ITS1". The record is from RNAcentral. Lineage: Eukaryota; Fungi; Basidiomycota; Agaricomycetes; Thelephorales; Thelephoraceae.
CCGAAUCGUCGACACGAGUUGUUGCUGGCCCUCAAACGGGGGCAUGUGCACGCUCUGUUUGCAUCCACCCACACCUGUGCACCCUUUGUAGUUCUGUGGUUUGGGGGACCCCCCUCCUCCGUCUGCGGUUCUGCGUCUUUACACACACACUGUAACAAGUCCUAUGGAAUGUACGUCGCGUCUAACGCAAUACAAUA